RNAcentral lists this ribosomal RNA (222 nucleotides) under Bacteroides caecigallinarum. RNAcentral describes it as "partial 23S ribosomal RNA". It matches the Rfam family "Bacterial large subunit ribosomal RNA", at positions 181 to 402 of the family's 2925-position model. The record is from RNAcentral. Lineage: Bacteria; Pseudomonadati; Bacteroidota; Bacteroidia; Bacteroidales; Bacteroidaceae.
AACGCAGGGAACUGAAACAUCUUAGUACCUGCAGGAAAAGAAAAUAACAAUGAUUCCCCCAGUAGUGGCGAGCGAACGGGGAAUAGCCCAAACCAACAGUGUUACGGCAUUGUUGGGGUUGUAGGACCACGACGUUGCAAGAAAUCUUGUGAGAAGAACGGUCUGGAAAGGCCGGCCACAGCGGGUGACAGCCCCGUAUUCGAAGCGAGACGAAGCAUAGUG